RNAcentral lists this ribosomal RNA (253 nucleotides) under uncultured bacterium. Its description in RNAcentral is "partial 16S ribosomal RNA". It matches the Rfam family "Bacterial small subunit ribosomal RNA", at positions 524 to 777 of the family's 1533-position model. The record is from RNAcentral.
UACGAAGGGGCUAGCGUUGUUCGGAAUCACUGGGCGUAAAGGGCGCGUAGGCGGCCGAUCAAGUCGGGGGUGAAAGCCUGUGGCUCAACCACAGAAUUGCCUUCGAUACUGGUUGGCUUGAGACCGGAAGAGGUAAGUGGAACUGCGAGUGUAGAGGUGAAAUUCGUAGAUAUUCGCAAGAACACCAGUGGCGAAGGCGGCUUACUGGUCCGGUUCUGACGCUGAGGCGCGAAAGCGUGGGGAGCAAACAGGG